RNAcentral lists this ribosomal RNA (415 nucleotides) under uncultured soil bacterium. Its description in RNAcentral is "bacterial SSU rRNA". It matches the Rfam family "Bacterial small subunit ribosomal RNA", at positions 26 to 438 of the family's 1533-position model. The record is from RNAcentral.
AGGACGAACGCUGGCGGCGUGCUUAACACAUGCAAGUCGAGCGGAAAGGCCUUUCGGGGUACUCGAGCGGCGAACGGGUGAGUAACACGUGAGUAAUCUGCCCAUCGCUUCAGGAUAGCCAUCGGAAGCGGUGAUUAAUACUGGAUAUGACAUUCCUUCGCAUGUUGGGGUGUGGAAAGUUUUUUCGGCGGUGGAUGUGCUCGCGGCCUAUCAGCUUGUUGGUGGGGUAAUGGCCUACCAAGGCUUUGACGGGUAGCCGGCCUGAGAGGGUGACCGGCCACACUGGGACUGAGACACGGCCCAGACUCCUACGGGAGCAGCAGGUGGGAAUACUGGACAGUGGGCGGUAAGCCUGAUCCAGCAACGCCGCGUGAGGAGUCGACGGUCCGUUCGGGUUGUACGGUACCCUUCGUUU